RNAcentral lists this ribosomal RNA (301 nucleotides) under uncultured bacterium. RNAcentral describes it as "partial 16S ribosomal RNA". It matches the Rfam family "Bacterial small subunit ribosomal RNA", at positions 509 to 807 of the family's 1533-position model. The record is from RNAcentral.
CAGUCGCCGCGGUAAUACGAAGGGGGCUAGCGUUGUGCGGAUUUACUGGGCGUAAAGGGCGCGUAGGCGGACUGAUAAGUCAGGGGUGAAAUCCCAAGGCUCAACCUUGGAACUGCCUUUGAUACUGUUUGUCUUGAGUUCGAGAGAGGUAAGUGGAACUGCGAGUGUAGAGGUGAGAUUCGUAGAUAUUCGCAAGAACACCAGUGGCGAAGGCGGCUUACUGGCUCGAAACUGACGCUGAGGCGCGAAAGCGUGGGGAGCAAACAGGAUUAGAUACCCCAGUAGUCCCUGUCUCUUAUAC